AAAAUGUGCGCCAAAAGCAAAUAUACACUUGAAACGCUUCCUUCUAUCGAUAAAAUGUUGAACUACAACAAAAAAUGUUACGUAACAAUUAAAAUACCUUAAAAUAUUCGGACUGUCGUUUUUUCAUUUCUGGUUCAGGUCGGCUGGAAGUAACUUCUUCCACUGAAAACAAUUUCACAUCGAGGCAGUUUUGUGAGCUCGGCAUUAGUGUCCGAGGAAAAUGAGAGCUAAGUGGCGUAAAAAGAGGAUGCGCAGGCUCAAACGCAAACGCAGGAAGAUGCGAGCUCGUUCCAAGUAAAUAAACGAUUAAAAUCAUUAACCAUACGUAAAAAUCGGCAUCUAAUUGUGAAUCUAAUAUAUGCAUGAAAUAUUUUGUAUACUAGCAUAAUAAACCGAUGUUUAUAACUUAUGAUAAAUUACGUAUAUAUUAAUUAAUAUUAAUAUACUAUUAUUUAUUAUUUGUUUGACCAAAGUAUCUAAAUUAUGUAUGCAUG
This is a long non-coding RNA of Ctenocephalides felis (cat flea), 494 nucleotides long. RefSeq lists it as uncharacterized. The record is from RefSeq and is a predicted model, not a curated record. Lineage: Eukaryota; Metazoa; Arthropoda; Insecta; Siphonaptera; Pulicidae. The transcript has 3 exons.